CUGCGCAGUAGCGACCCGGCGGCGUCAGCGCGCGCUCUCCUGGCCCAGCCGCGCGGAAUUAACUACUGGAGGCCAGAGGCUCCGGAAAUGCUUUUGGGCGGAGAUGUGACCCCUUUCUGCAUUUCCAGGCUUUUCCACCCCACUAAGUGCCAUGGGAAACACCCUGCCAAUCUUACCAUUAGGCCCCUGUGUGAACUAGGAAAUGCUGAAAAAUGAGAGCAGAAGGGAUCAAACUUGGACCUUGCGCUUGUGAAGCAGGCUCUGGAACCACUAAGCUAAAUCCCUGGAAGC
Molecule: RNA transcript, 291 nt
Organism: Heterocephalus glaber (naked mole-rat)
Lineage: Eukaryota; Metazoa; Chordata; Mammalia; Rodentia; Bathyergidae
Gene name: kelch repeat and BTB domain-containing protein 8 pseudogene
Source: RefSeq, a predicted model, not a curated record